GCACCUAUAGCUCAGUUGGAUAGAGCAACGGACUUCUAAUUCGUGUGCCGGGGGUUCAAAUCCUCCUAGGUGCACCA
This 77-nucleotide transfer RNA is filed under the name Anaerosphaera aminiphila DSM 21120. Its description in RNAcentral is "tRNA_Arg_TCT". It matches the Rfam family "tRNA". From Rfam's summary of the family: Transfer RNA (tRNA) molecules are approximately 80 nucleotides in length. The record is from RNAcentral. Lineage: Bacteria; Bacillati; Bacillota; Tissierellia; Tissierellales; Peptoniphilaceae.